Molecule: non-coding RNA, 34 nt
Submitted as: unclassified sequences
Source: Rfam
CUUUGAAGUAGUGAAUAUUUCAAGGCGGAAGGAG